ACCUGAGUGGCUCAGUCGGUUAAGCGUCUGACUUCAACUCAGGUCAUGAUCUCAGGGUUUGUGAGUUCAAGCCCCACGUCAGGCU
Molecule: transfer RNA, 85 nt
Filed under: Felis catus (domestic cat)
Lineage: Eukaryota; Metazoa; Chordata; Mammalia; Carnivora; Felidae
Also listed under: 2 other names
Rfam family: tRNA
About the family: Transfer RNA (tRNA) molecules are approximately 80 nucleotides in length.
Source: Rfam by way of RNAcentral